This 253-nucleotide ribosomal RNA is filed under the name uncultured bacterium. RNAcentral's name for it is "partial 16S ribosomal RNA". It matches the Rfam family "Bacterial small subunit ribosomal RNA", at positions 524 to 776 of the family's 1533-position model. The record is from RNAcentral.
UACGUAGGGGGCAAGCGUUAUCCGGAAUUACUGGGUGUAAAGGGCGUGUAGGCGGGACCUUAAGUCAGAUGUGAAAUCCCACGGCUCAACCGUGGAACUGCAUCUGAAACUGGGGUUCUUGAGUGCAGGAGAGGAGAGUGGAAUUCCUAGUGUAGCGGUGAAAUGCGUAGAUAUUAGGAGGAACACCAGUGGCGAAGGCGACUCUCUGGACUGUAACUGACGCUGAGACGCGAAAGCGUGGGGAGCAAACAGG